RNAcentral lists this long non-coding RNA (3048 nucleotides) under Helianthus annuus (common sunflower). RNAcentral describes it as "hypothetical non coding rna". Lineage: Eukaryota; Viridiplantae; Streptophyta; Magnoliopsida; Asterales; Asteraceae. The record is from RNAcentral.
GAAGUGUGUCUGGUCGAUCUAAACAUCAGGAGCGAACAGGAGCUUCCCCACCAAACCCUAACUUGUGCAAAUUGAUCAAAUUGGGGCUUCAAAUCAGUUCCAAAUCGAUUUCCAAGCACGAAAUUGUCAUCUCCAUUGAAAGGGGAGUCAUAAGUUUGAUCUCGUCAAGCUAAGUGGGAGCUGGAAAAGAAUGGAUCAAACGGGUCAAGUGCGCAAGGAAAGCUCGAACGGACGCAAACUGAACGAAUAGAAAUUUGGAUAAUUACGUCAUCAUAGAAUAUUGAAUUAAUAAUAGCAAGGCAUAAACGGGUCUAUACGUUGACUCGAGCCAGGUACGCUUAUAUAUAGAUUUAUAGUUAAAAGUGUUUAACUUCCCUUCACGGGUCAAAAGGAGUAGAUAGGUAAAACGGGUUAAGAAUUCAUAAGAAACCCGUAAUUUGAACCUUGCACAUUAGUAAACUGAUAUAACGUGAUAUGCAUGAUAUUUUGAAAAGGGUAAUAAACAAGUUUGUUUGAUAAAUCACGAACGGGUCAAAAAGUGUCAUAAUUGAAUUUCAAGCCGAGAGCUUGAAAGUUAAAAUUCUGUGAAUUCAGAUGUUGGAUUUUAACUCCAUAUGAUGGAGGAUCAAAUUACAAUCACGUAGAAAGAAACGGUAGACCCUGUAAAAAAAUAUGUAUAUAUAUUUUAUUCAGUUUUGCUUCCCAGACUCAUUUAGAUACGUUUUAAACCCCGUAUGACUAAAGCAUUUCAUGUUUAUGAAAUGUAGGUACAUUUUGGAUGCCGGAAGACGAUCAAGCUCAACGAAGAACCGAACACGAAUAAGAUAAAAGCUUCCGUACGUCGUUUCGUCGUAACUUUUAAACGACGAACUCAAUUAUGUUAUGUUGUAUUAUUUUAAAAUUGUAAAGUUUAAACAAACCCGUAUUUUUACAAAGUAUAUGUAGUCAUAAUUACAUGUUGUUUGUCGUAUACUUUACGAAAACCAUUAAAUAAUGACAAGGGUGUUACAAGUUGGUAUCAGAGCUCAUGGUUAAAGAGUAAAGUGUGUUCGGUUCGAGGCUUGAUCGCAAAUCCGGUAAAUACAUGUAUAUUAAUGGUUUGGUAUGUGUUGAAAUGUUGUGAACAACACAUAGGGUUAUCGUGUGAUACACGUUACCUCAAUUAAAUGAUAAAUAUAGUUGAGAAAAUUGCGCGCGUUGACGCGUAUAGUAGAAAAGCCUUGUAUUAUAAUACGGGCGAUUAUUGAAGUUGAUAUUAUUAAUUCUUGUAAAUGUUUUAAUUGAAGGACACUCGCAUCUGAAGAUAGCGAGAGUUUAACAAAUUGCGGAUAUGAUGAUGGAACGGUCCGAGAUGUGACAAGAAGAGCAUACUCAUCAAGGACCUAAAUCGCGUAAUGAUCGCAAAUAAGUAAUGGCAAGGAAUGCCCGCCGGGGCAAGCAUUACCAGGUGCACAUUUUAAACUUAUAGUACAAACAGUAAUAUGCAACAAAUACAUAGUGAAUGACAGUUGCAUAUAGAAUAUGAAACUUGGAAAACCUGGAUAGGUUACCUAUAUAGGAUGACGUUUCCAAGAGAAAUUCAGUAGAGAAUAUGUAUUAUUCACAAAUUGUGAAUAACAAGACAAUAACAGAAUUCAGUUUAUAUAGAAACUUGGACGAGAGUGAUCAUCCAAGUAAGUAUUCUCAAUAUAAAUCCUAUUGAAAAAAGUAAUGAUCACAUCAACAAAUGUGAAUAAAUGUUUAUAAAAAGGGACAUUUUACAUGUUCAAGGAUAAACGACUAAAACUAAUAAUUGUUAACUAACAAUUAAAUAAAGUUUUACCAAAUGAAAUCACAAAUAUGGAAAUAAUUUGAGGAGUUACUUACAUGGGACGUGAUGUGGUAAUUAUAAUAAGGUCACGCGUACCAUGUGUUGAUCGCUUACUCUGGCUAAGUAAGUAGUGAACACAUGAUAGCAUGAGCUUCUUAUAAUGAGCGCAGUUAUGUCCGAUGUAGUAAGGUCAAGAUGAAUGAAAAUUUAAAGGAUCCUUAGGGUCAAGAAAUCUUAUGGGCAUACUCGUAUAAAUGGUUUUCGCGGGAACCAUAAAAACGACGUAUGGCGCACAUAGAAAUAAAUGACCCAAGGAAAUUCGUGACAUAAGUCAUUUCGGACGAAACAACCAUGGUAGACAAAAAGGGCAUUGUAAAACCAAAGUAUAAAUGACCCGCGGGGUCAUAGAAACAAAGGUAUUGCCCACAUGGGAAAAACGAUCAAAAACCAUGGUAGACAAAAAGGGCAUUGUAAAACCAAAGUAUAAAUGACCCGCGGGGUCAUAGAAACAAAGGUAUUGCCCACAUGGGAAAAACGAUCAAAGUCAUUGACUUUGGUCGUAGUAAAGAAAUGAUGAUGAUGAUGAUAAUCAUCAUUCAUAGUUUAUAAGACUGUCAAGGAUGGUCGGAUAAAGAAUAAAGGUUUGGUUGAAUAAAAGCGAUGGAUUUCGCUAAGACAACCAAACAAAUUAAAAAGAAAUCUUAAUGUAUACCGGAAUGCUUGCACUAAUAAUGACUUCGGUAAAGUACCCGGUUGAUGGGUAAGGAUUUAAACACAUGCGUAAACCGAGAAACGGGAACACGAAUUUAAAGUCAAAAGACUCGGAUUAUGAGUUAUGACUGAAAGACCAUAAAAUUUCGCAAACAGAAAUUUUGAUAAUUAUAUUCAACUAUUUUGAGGUUGAACGGGUUGAAUAAAGUAUAAUGCUUGAUGGCAUAAGUAAGCGCAAGCCGGAUAAUGGUAAGCUUGAGACAAACCGAUGCUUAAUUGACGUGAGAAGUCAUAGAGUCGGAAGAAUUAUUCGAAAGAAAACGAUUGUAGACACGAACUACAGUCAAAGUUAACGGAUUUCAAGCAUGAAAACAAGUGAUUUUCAAACAAAAAAAAAAGGAGAGUGCUUUUACACCAAAUAUAUAUUUUAAUAAAGACACGAGUAAAAAGAAUGAUCUACGGGAUCAUCAUAACCUUCAGGUUAUAAACAGUGUAAAGGUCUACGGGACCAAAAUGACCUACGGGUC